Molecule: long non-coding RNA, 2440 nt
Filed under: Pan troglodytes (chimpanzee)
Lineage: Eukaryota; Metazoa; Chordata; Mammalia; Primates; Hominidae
Description: lincRNA
Rfam family: mir-675 microRNA precursor family (bases 1045-1117)
Source: RNAcentral
AGUUAGAAAAAGCCCGGGCUAGGACCGAGGAGCAGGGUGAGGGAGGGGGUGGGAUGGGUGGGGGGUAACGGGGGAAACUGGGGAAGUGGGGAACCGAGGGGCAACCAGGGGAAGAUGGGGUGCUGGAGGAGAGCUUGUGGGAGCCAAGGAGCACCUUGGACAUCUGGAGUCUGGCAGGAGUGAUGACGGGUGGAGGGGCUAGCUCGGGGCAGGGCUGGUGGGGCCUGAGGCCAGUGAGGAGUGUGGAGUAGGCGCCCAGGCAUCGUGCAGACAGGGCGACAUCAGCUGGGGACGAUGGGCCUGAGCUAGGGCUGGAAAGAAGGGGGAGCCAGGCAUUCAUCCCGGUCACUUUUGGUUACAGGACGUGGCAGCUGGUUGGACGAGGGGAGCUGGUGGGCAGGGUUUGAUCCCAGGGCCUGGGCAACGGAGGUGUAGCUGGCAGCAGCGGGCAGGUGAGGACCCCAUCUGCCGGGCAGGUGAGUCCCUUCCCUCCCCAGGCCUCGCUUCCCCAGCCUUCUGAAAGAAGGAGGUUUAGGGGAUCGAGGGCUGGCGGGGAGAAGCAGACACCCUCCCAGCAGAGGGGCAGGAUGGGGGCAGGAGAGUUAGCAAAGGUGACAUCUUCUCGGGGGGAGCCGAGACUGCGCAAGGCUGGGGGGCUGUGGGCCCGUUCCAGGCAGAAAGAGCAAGAGGGCAGGGAGGGAGCACAGGGGUGGCCAGCGUAGGGUCCAGCACGUGGGGUGGUACCCCAGGCCUGGGUCAGACAGGGACAAGGCAGGGGACACAGGACAGAGGGGUCCCCAGCUGCCACCUCACCCACCGCAAUUCAUUUAGUAGCAGGCACAGGGGCAGCUCCGGCACGGCUUUCUCAGGCCUGUGCCGGAGCCUCGAGGGCUGGAGAGCGGGAAGACAGGCAGUGCUCGGGGAGUUGCAGCAGGACGUCACCAGGAGGGCGAAGCGGCCACGGGAGGGGGGCCCCGGGACAUUGCGCAGCAAGGAGGCUGCAGGGGCUCGGCCUGCGGGCGCCGGUCCCACGAGGCACUGCGGCCCAGGGUCUGGUGCGGAGAGGGCCCACAGUGGACUUGGUGACGCUGUAUGCCCUCACCGCUCAGCCCCUGGGGCUGGCUUGGCAGACAGUACAGCAUCCAGGGGAGUCAAGGGCAUGGGGCGAGACCAGACUAGGCGAGGCGGGCGGGGCGGAGUGAAUGAGCUCUCAGGAGGGAGGCUCGUGCAGGCAGGGGUGAGGAGCGCAGCCGGCGGCGAGCGGGAGGCACUGGCCUCCAGAGCCCGUGGCCAAGGCGGGCCUCGCGGGCGGCGACGGAGCCGGGAUCGGUGCCUCAGCGUUCGGGCUGGAGACGAGGCCAGGUCUCCAGCUGGGGUGGACGUGCCCACCAGCCGCCGAAGGCCAGGACGCCAGGUCCGGUGGACGUGACAAGCAGGACGUGACAUGGUCCGGUGUGACGGCGAGGACAGAGGAGGCGCGUCCGGCCUUCCUGAACACCUUAGGCUGGUGGGGCUGCGGCAAGAAGCGGGUCUGUUUCUUUACUUCCUCCACGGAGUCGGCACACUAUGGCUGCCCUCUGGGCUCCCAGAACCCACAACAUGAAAGGUGAGGGGCUUCCUGCCACACUUGGGGUGGGGGGCACGCGAGAGGAGCUGAGUGGGACCUCACUCCUUCCCCAUCCACAGAAAUGGUGCUACCCAGCUCAAGCCUGGGCCUUUGAAUCCGGACACAAAACCCUCUAGCUUGGAAAUGAAUAUGCUGCACUUUACAACCACUGCACUACCCGACUCAGGAAUCGGCUCUGGAAGGUGAAGCUAGAGGAACCAGACCUCAUCAGCCCAACAUCAAAGACACCAUCGGAACAGCAGCGCCCGCAGCACCCACCCCGCACCGGCGACUCCAUCUUCAUGGCCACCCCCUGCGGCGGACGGUUGACCACCAGCCACCACAUCAUCCCAGAGCUGAGCUCCUCCAGCGGGAUGACGCCGUCCCCACCACCUCCCUCUUCUUCUUUUUCAUCCUUCUGUCUCUUUGUUUCUGAGCUUUCCUGUCUUUCCUUUUUUCUGAGAGAUUCAAAGCCUCCACGACUCUGUUUCCCCCGUCCCUUCUGAAUUUAAUUUGCACUAAGUCAUUUGCACUGGUUGGAGUUGUGGAGACGGCCUUGAGUCUUGGUGCGAGUGUGUGUGAGUGUGAGCCACCUUGGCAAGUGCCCGCCCAGGGCCCGGCCGCCCUCCAUCUGGGCCGGGUGACUGGGCGCCGGCUGUGUGCCCGAGGCCUCACCCUGCCCUCGCCUAGUCUGGAAGCUCCGACCGACAUCACGGAGCAGCCUUCAAGCAUUCCAUUACACCCAUCUCGCUCUGUGCCCCUCCCCACCAGGGCUUCAGCAGGAGCCCUGGACUCAUCAUCAAUAAACACUGUUACAGCAACUUGUCUCAAGGA